CCUACGGGUGGCAGCAGUGGGGAAUAUUGGGCAAUGGAGGCAACUCUGACCCAGCAACGCCGCGUGAAUGAUGAAGGUCUUCGGAUUGUAAAGCUCUGUGCUGGGGGAUGAACACAAUGACGGUACCCCAAUAGCAAGCCACGGCUAACUACGUGCCAGCAGCCGCGGUAAUACGUCGGUGGCAAGCGUUAUCCGGAAUGACUGGGGGUAAGGGGUGCGUAGGUGGUUUAGUAAGUUGGCGGUGUAAUUCCGGGGCUCAACCUCGGCGCUACCGCCAAAAUUAUUAUACUAGAGUGCGGGAGGGGUAAGGGGAAUACCUAGGGUAGCGGUGGAAUGCGUAGAUAUUAGGAGGAACAUCAGGGGCGAAGGCGACUUACAGGACUGUAACUGACACGGAGGCACGAAAGCGUGGGGAGCAAACAGGAUUAGAUACCGAGUAGUC
RNAcentral lists this ribosomal RNA (442 nucleotides) under uncultured bacterium. RNAcentral's name for it is "partial 16S ribosomal RNA". It matches the Rfam family "Bacterial small subunit ribosomal RNA", at positions 338 to 795 of the family's 1533-position model. The record is from RNAcentral.